GAGGCCUAUAAAAGGGCCUUUCCUCGCCACACUCUGCCAACCAUCCCUUUCCUUCUCCACGUAGCCGUGUCGACGUUUCGAGUUGGGUUUCCCCCCAAAGCCAAAGAAGAUGUCUUAUCAACAGACCCAGCAAUGCAAGCAACCUGCAGUUUGCCCACCGGCACCUUGUGUGACUCCAUGCCAGCCUUCAGAAUGUCCUAAGCCGUGCCCUCCUCCAGCGUGCCAGGUCUCUGGCGGGAGCACAUGCCAAGUUUCCGGUGGGAGCACAGGCCAAGUUUCCGGUGGGAGCACAUGCCACGGAUCUGGUGGCAGUCCUUGCCAAUCGGCCGAUCCAUGCCAAGGAACCACUGGAAGCCAGUCCCAAUGUCCAUCAGGCAAAGGCGAUAGCCAUCAGAACCAUCAUGACUCCCAACAGCACAAGCAAUGCUAGCUGCCACGGAAGAGUCAGACAUCUGCCGGUGGACCUCCUGAUGGCCCCUGGGUUUGGGGCCGCUGCGUGACGCAGAAUGUUGGACUGGAUGGGCCACUGGCCUGAUCCGACAUGGCUUCUCUUGUGUUCUUACAUGAAAGCGCAUGAAUAAAGGCUUCCGAUGCUUUCCUGA
This is a long non-coding RNA of Gekko japonicus, 602 nucleotides long. RefSeq lists it as uncharacterized. The transcript has 2 exons. Lineage: Eukaryota; Metazoa; Chordata; Lepidosauria; Squamata; Gekkonidae. The record is from RefSeq and is a predicted model, not a curated record.